Molecule: ribosomal RNA, 463 nt
Filed under: uncultured Pseudomonas sp.
Lineage: Bacteria; Pseudomonadati; Pseudomonadota; Gammaproteobacteria; Pseudomonadales; Pseudomonadaceae
Description: bacterial SSU rRNA
Rfam family: Bacterial small subunit ribosomal RNA
Source: RNAcentral
ACCCCGCACAAGCGGUGGAUCAUGUUGUUUAAUUCGAUGAUACGCGAAGAACCUUACCAGGUCUUGACCAUCCCCCGCAAUGCUAUGGAGACAUAGCGGAGGUAUUCGGGGAGACAGGUGGUGCAUGGUUGUCGUCAGCUCGUGUCGUGAGAUGUUGGGUUAAGUCCCGUAACGAGCGCAACCCUUGUCCUUAGUUACCAGCACGUUAUGGUGGGCACUCUAAGGAGACUGCCGGUGACAAACCGGAGGAAGGUGGGGAUGACGUCAAGUCAUCAUGGCCCUUACGGCCUGGGCUACACACGUGCUACAAUGGUCGGUACAAAGGGUUGCCAAGCCGCGAGGUGGAGCUAAUCCCAUAAAACCGAAUCGUAGUCCGGAUCGCAGUCUGCAACUCGACUGCGUGAAGUCGGAAUCGCUAGUAAUCGUGAAUCAGAAUGUCACGGUGAAUACGUUCCCGGGCCUU